CGCCUGCAGUAGAGCUGAAGUAGAAGAUAGGGCUCCAUAUUAGGAUACUUCAGAUGAGAUUUUAAGUAUUUUAAGAUUAGAUUAAUUUUCUUUUGACACCAUUCAAGCUUUGGAAAGCUUUGGAAGUGUUGUAACUUGAGGGGUAACCUUUGACCUCUCAAAGGUUGAGGAGCUAGCUCAUCUCAGAAGAACAGAGAAAAGGAGCAUUAGGCCAAGUGAUAGUAAUCACUUCUGUAGGCCUUUCUCUUUUUAUUUUGAUAUGUG
This is a long non-coding RNA of Prosopis cineraria, 264 nucleotides long. RefSeq lists it as uncharacterized. The record is from RefSeq and is a predicted model, not a curated record. NCBI's taxonomy places the organism in Eukaryota, Viridiplantae, Streptophyta, Magnoliopsida, Fabales, Fabaceae. The transcript has 3 exons.